UGGGCUGGAAGGGCUGGAUCCAAAGCCUCAGUCUCUUCCACUUUCAUGAGUAAACCAUGUAAGGAAAGAUCUUGAAUCCUAGCUUCAAUUGCCAAGUCACGUUGUUCUACCUUCGCUGGCGCUUGAUGGAGAAUGCGUGAAAAGCGUCGUCUCUCUGCCAUGUGCAUUUUCUCGUUAUGUUUUCAAACAGAAUUGAAUAGUAUAUCAAUGCGAACAAAAAAUGUUCGAUUGCUGUUUGAAAAGUGUCGAGGUCGCUACAGAGUGACGUAAGUGCAAUGUCAUGUUCUUAACGAACGAGACGGGCUAAUGAG
This is a non-coding RNA of Vibrio sp., 311 nucleotides long. The record is from Rfam. NCBI's taxonomy places the organism in Bacteria, Pseudomonadati, Pseudomonadota, Gammaproteobacteria, Vibrionales, Vibrionaceae.